RNAcentral lists this ribosomal RNA (72 nucleotides) under Colwellia sp. RSH04. The record is from RNAcentral. Lineage: Bacteria; Pseudomonadati; Pseudomonadota; Gammaproteobacteria; Alteromonadales; Colwelliaceae.
CUUAGCGACAAUAGCGACAUAGAACCACCUGAUCCCAUUCCGAACUCAGAAGUGAAAUGUGUUAGCGCCGAU